RNAcentral lists this ribosomal RNA (343 nucleotides) under uncultured bacterium. RNAcentral's name for it is "bacterial SSU rRNA". It matches the Rfam family "Bacterial small subunit ribosomal RNA", at positions 152 to 529 of the family's 1533-position model. The record is from RNAcentral.
GGAAACAGGUGCUAAUACCGAAUGUGCCCUUCGGGGGAAAGAUUUAUCGCCUUUAGAGCGGCCCGCGUCUGAUUAGCUAGUUGGUGAGGUAAAGGCUCACCAAGGCGACGAUCAGUAGCUGGUCUGAGAGGAUGAUCAGCCACAUUGGGACUGAGACACGGCCCAAACUCCUACGGGAGGCAGCAGUGGGGAAUCUUGCGCAAUGGGCGAAAGCCUGACGCAGCCAUGCCGCGUGAAUGAUGAAGGUCUUAGGAUUGUAAAAUUCUUUCACCGGGGACGAUAAUGACGGUACCCGGAGAAGAAGCCCCGGCUAACUUCGUGCCAGCAGCCGCGGUAAUACGAU